RNAcentral lists this ribosomal RNA (495 nucleotides) under uncultured bacterium. RNAcentral's name for it is "partial 16S ribosomal RNA". It matches the Rfam family "Bacterial small subunit ribosomal RNA", at positions 28 to 507 of the family's 1533-position model. The record is from RNAcentral.
GACGAACGCUGGCGGCGUGCCUAAUACAUGCAAGUAGAACGCUGAAGGAGGAGCUUGCUUCUCUGGAUGAGUUGCGAACGGGUGAGUAACGCGUAGGUAACCUGCCUGGUAGCGGGGGAUAACUAUUGGAAACGAUAGCUAAUACCGCAUAAGAGUAGAUGUUGCAUGACAUUUGCUUAAAAGGUGCAAUUGCAUCACUACCAGAUGGACCUGCGUUGUAUUAGCUAGUUGGUGAGGUAACGGCUCACCAAGGCAACGAUACAUAGCCGACCUGAGAGGGUGAUCGGCCACACUGGGACUGAGACACGGCCCAGACUCCUACGGGAGGCAGCAGUAGGGAAUCUUCGGCAAUAGACGGAAGUCUGACCGAGCAACGCCGCGUGAGUGAAGAAGGUUGUCGGAUCGUAAAGCUCUGUUGUAAGAGAAGAACGAGUGUGAGAGUGGAAAGUUCACACUGUGACGGUAUCUUACCAGAAAGGGACGGCUAACUACGUG